UUUACAUAUAGAAGAUCAAAAAUUAUAGCUGGAAUUAGUUUUACAGAAUAAUCAAAAUAACAUUAAUGUUUCACUUCUAUAUCCAGGAAGUAUGUGUAUGUAGAUGGAGAAAAAAUUACAAAAUUCAUCUAAGUAUUGACAUUUUUGUUGGUGGUUUUUUUUUUGUGUGUGUUUUUUUUAAUUUUUGUUGUUUUUUGUUUUGUUUUGUUAUGUUUUUCCCUACCAUUAUUUCACUAGAAGAAGGCAGAGAGCAAAUGAAGAAGAAAAGGUUCGAUUCUGACAACAAUCAUGAAAUCCUCUGUGAAGGCACUUCAGAGAGGCAAGACUCUUCCUCAGAACAAAGAUAGAAAGCCAGGAACAGUGGCCAGAGACUACAAUGUUCUUCAGAUGCUGGAGGAAUACUUGCAAUUUUCUCCACUCCAGAAGCACUGCACGAUCUUUGCUGGAAUGAAGUUCUCACUCCAUCAAACAUACUCCAAGACUUCAUAAAAAGAAAUACUUUCCUUCUUCAAACAAUAAGAAAAGUAAUUUCAGUUAAAAAUAUUUCAUAUUAUUCUUCAUGUUGAGAAUGUGAGUGAUUCUAUAUAGACAAUUAUGGAUUUCCGUGUUGAAAAACACAAUAAUUUUCUAUGGCGAAUCUUUGGUCUUUGCACUUGGUCUUUGCCUGGUGCUCACAGAACAAAUUUCAGAAAUAUAAUCCACUAAAUUACAGACUUUUAAAAAUGGCCACAGAAGAAAUUCUACAGAUCCUAGAAGAGAUGGAUAAAUUAGUCAAUCUCUAAUUUCAAGUGAAGAAUUUUGACAACUGUACUUUGUUAUUUUUUUCCCAUCAGUAUCCACAGGCAAAUUGCACACAUAAAAUAUAAAGAACAUGUGUGACUAAAAAACUAAAUACUUUUUUUUUUUUUUGUCCUUAUCAGUCUUGAUGCAGAUCCUAAAAAUCAAGUUUCCAGCAUCAUUUUUAACAUUCAGAAGUAUCCAAGAGUAUUUUAGAGUAUUCUAUCUGCUGCCAGGCAGCUGACACAGCAAAGGAUGUAUGGGAAACCCACUUCUUCAAAGAUUACAGAAAUGAGUGCAUAAUGACAGCUGAUAUGACCCUAGACAACUUUGUACAGCCAAUCAACACUUCUCCUAUUAUGAGGUUAAGAAACAGUAGGUGAGAUUAUGAUAAAACCUUCUGACAGUAUAGCUUAUAUUACAUAUUAAUUUUUUUAUUUAAAUGUAUCUUACCAAGUUGGGAUGUUAUUAGACAAAGUAAGGCCAUUAAG
RNAcentral lists this long non-coding RNA (1268 nucleotides) under Coturnix japonica (Japanese quail). Its description in RNAcentral is "lncRNA (ENSCJPG00005007440.1)". Lineage: Eukaryota; Metazoa; Chordata; Aves; Galliformes; Phasianidae. The record is from RNAcentral.